AUAUUGUCCUCUCUUU
Molecule: small RNA, 16 nt
Filed under: Arabidopsis thaliana (thale cress)
Lineage: Eukaryota; Viridiplantae; Streptophyta; Magnoliopsida; Brassicales; Brassicaceae
Description: ATSL303770
Source: RNAcentral